CAUUCAAUCCAAAAAAUAAAACAACAAUGGCAGAGAAUGUGGAUUUGACUUUUUCAUUUAAAUGGAGCAAGGAGCAUACUGCUCAAUUGAUCAAACUCAGGGGGGAGAACGACGAGCUCUUCACCGGGGUGAAACAUUCGGCGAGUGUGGCUUGGGGGUAAGGAAACAAUCGUUUAUUUAUAUCGUAAGUUAGUUUAUAAAAAUUAUUAUAGGCCAUUUGUAUAUCUACAUUUGACCAUCUUGUAAAGGUUAGUUAAAUUAGCCCUCAUUGAAAAGCAGGACAGAUACAACAUCCACAGAAAUCGUUUACUACGAUGUCCUAUUUUGGGUUAUUAAAGAAAGACAAAAAAAA
Gadus morhua (Atlantic cod) is the source of this 352-nucleotide long non-coding RNA. RefSeq lists it as uncharacterized. The transcript is spliced from 2 exons. NCBI's taxonomy places the organism in Eukaryota, Metazoa, Chordata, Actinopteri, Gadiformes, Gadidae. The record is from RefSeq and is a predicted model, not a curated record.